Non-coding RNA from Pelobates cultripes (western spadefoot toad), 242 nucleotides. Lineage: Eukaryota; Metazoa; Chordata; Amphibia; Anura; Pelobatidae. The record is from the annotation of a GenBank genome assembly.
AGAUCAUUGUCUCUUGUCUCCUGUUUCCCCGGUUCCUGGUUCCCUGUGAUUCUAGCUCCUGGCUCCUUGGUCCUGUGUCCUGCGCCUCCUGGUCUUCGUUCCUGUGUUCUCCUGGUCUUCGUCCUGUGUCCUCCUGAUCCUGCGUUACUGUGUCCUCCUGGUUCUUCAUUCCUGUGCCCUCCGAUCCUGUGUUCUGGUUCUGUGUUCUCUGCUUUAUUACCAGUGAUCCUGACCCUGCAGCC